GCCUCGGUAGCGCAGUAGGCAGCGCGUCAGUCUCAUAAUCUGAAGGUCAUGAGUGCGAUCCUCACUCGGGGCA
Molecule: transfer RNA, 73 nt
Filed under: Dermacentor andersoni
Lineage: Eukaryota; Metazoa; Arthropoda; Arachnida; Ixodida; Ixodidae
Description: transfer RNA methionine (anticodon CAU)
Rfam family: tRNA
About the family: Transfer RNA (tRNA) molecules are approximately 80 nucleotides in length. Their secondary structure includes four short double-helical elements and three loops (D, anti-codon, and T loops).
Source: RNAcentral